Long non-coding RNA from Prunus dulcis (almond), 337 nucleotides. RefSeq lists it as uncharacterized. The record is from RefSeq and is a predicted model, not a curated record. Lineage: Eukaryota; Viridiplantae; Streptophyta; Magnoliopsida; Rosales; Rosaceae. The transcript is spliced from 3 exons.
GUGAAAAUACUUAGAUCCACUGAUGAGCUCCUUCCAUUGCACCACGUAUUCCCAGACUAUGAAAUAUUUUGAGGUGCACAAGUAUUUCCGAAAACAAUGAAGGCUUUGGAUGACUUGUUGGGUUGGUAUUACUUGGUUUGUCAAGAAAAGGAUAACUGCUUGCCACUAAAUCUUCCUACACUUGAGGAUGGACUGAGUUCUGGAGGUUAAGGAGCACAUAUGCAGGAUGUUUGAAAAGGUUUGAAAUAAGGCAAAUGCUUGAAAAAUGUUUAAGAUACUAAAAGCGGUGGAAAUGGUGCUGGGUGAAUGUACAUGGCUUGGACUUGUUGGAAGAUGU